This 583-nucleotide long non-coding RNA is filed under the name Olea europaea subsp. europaea. The record is from RNAcentral. Lineage: Eukaryota; Viridiplantae; Streptophyta; Magnoliopsida; Lamiales; Oleaceae.
CAUGAAUUGGCAAAAACUGUUGUCAUAUAUUGUACGAACAGCUUCUAAGAAUAGUGAAGCUUACCCUGGGAUGCAAAAGAAAAACAACCUUGUGAAAUCCAAACAUGAUAGUACGCACUGCAGCAAGUAUCUUUACAAUCAAAAUCAAUGAAUUGAAACGAGCAUAAAAUAAUAUAUAUGUGUAUGUAUACGUGUGUGUGUGUGUGAGAGAGAGAGAGAGAAGAGAGAGAGAGAGAGAGAGAGAUUCUUUGUUUUACCUCCAUUUACAAAGAAGUUCAAGACGAGGAAAACCUUUUGCGUUGUCCAACCAUACUCAGGCACUCUUAGUUCAAUUCUUAGUAAUUGAAUCUACAUGUAAUAAUGGAUUCUCGAUAAAUUCGCACUACCAAUUCCCAUGGUACUCAAUGUUAAGGGAAUAUAAUCCCACAUCGGUAAAAUAUCGAAAUAAUGACCAAUAUAUAAAGAAUUGGGGCACUCCUCUUAACAAGGUUGACCUUAUUGAGAUGGACCCCAAGUCUUAACAUGGUAUUAGAGCCCAUUAAACUCCAACGAGUGAUUCGAUCCUAUUAAGUCUUUAAAAAUG